This is an RNA transcript of Bactrocera tryoni, 3420 nucleotides long. It is a transcript of the gene named cytohesin-1, with no coding region annotated. NCBI's taxonomy places the organism in Eukaryota, Metazoa, Arthropoda, Insecta, Diptera, Tephritidae. The transcript has 6 exons. The record is from RefSeq and is a predicted model, not a curated record.
UUUAUUACUUUCAGAUUAAAAUCUCCAAUUAGCGAAACGCAAAAUGAUCGAGCCCGACUUGGACGACACACAUCUCUGCAUCAAAUGCAGCUCUACCAUUGUUGGACUCGAGGCAUAUAUCCAACACCGAAAAACACAAUGCACCAAUCUCAAUAGCACCGCUGCAAGUAGUAAGCGGGAGCACACCACUACGCACACGGUGCACUCGGAAAUAAUAACAACGCCACGUGCACAUCUCGAUCACACCUACGACGCGUUCACGUUUGCCGAGCCGGAGUCGUAUGUCAAAGAUUCAACACACGGUGGUAAAACCUCAAAAUCGCUGUCCGACGCUUACGAGCUGCCAUACGAGCUGGGCGCCGAUGUGUUCUUCUCCUCACUGCAGCUACAAAGCGUACAAGCAGCCGGGCCCUCAACGAGCGGAAAGCAAGGGCUGAGCGCGACGAGUCAAUCGCUGAGCAGUCUGCAGCAGCGACAACAAAAACCCGAUCAUACCGUACAUAUUGGUGCUCCAGAUGAGCCUUGGAUGUCAGAUGCGCAAGCAAGCAGCAGUAAUGUAGAGCAGCAACAAAAAUCCUAUGAAGUUUUUAAACCGCUUACAUUCGUGCACGAAUCACCCGACGCAAGUGAGGAGGAAGAAGAGGAUGUGGAUGUGGAAAUGGAUGAGGAUGAUGAUGACUAUGAUCCGAUAGCAGAUGCGCAUGCGAAUGGUGGCAAAUGGAAACCACCAACAAUGCGUCACUCACCACCGGUGGUGCCCGAGACGCAUACCGGUGGCAAAUGGCGACCCGAAUAUAGACCCGAACUGAAUGUUACACAUGCACAGCUCACACGGCUAUCACCGAACUGGGACGAGGCGGUCGAGGAAGUGGAAAAUGUCGAACUACUUGAAGGUCAGCAUCCGCCUGCCGAACACACGAAAGGUAAAUGGAUACCCGGCACCAAAAUGCAACGGCUCGAAUAUAAGGAGGAAGUAGUCGAAUUAGCCAAGUCGGCAAAUCAAGCAUACUGGUGUAAUAUCUGUUGUCGACGUUUGAAGAGCAAAACAAAUUACGAGAACCAUCUAAAGACCGGUUAUCACCGCAAACGUGCGGAGCCCGAACGGCAGCUCGAAAAGGCGGCGCUAGGCAAUAUACAACGUGUUGAAUUAAGUAAAAGUUUAUUGGCAGCGGCCUUGGCGGAACCCAAACCAACUACCAGCAGCAGUGGUGUUGUAAAAAAGCGUAAACGUCGUGCUACCUACAUUAAAUGUCAACUCUGCAAGCACAGCAUGUUGCGUCAUCUAGUGGGCAAGCACUUGAUAUCGCACUUUCACUACCGACGUAUGCAGCUGAAUCCCACGAAGUCACUGCACAUGAUACUAGACAAUAUACAUUCGGUGGUGCUGCAGUCACCAUUCCAGUGUCGCCCCUGCCGCUUCUAUACGAACACCGAAGAGAUGUUUCUGCAGCACUGGAGCUCGCCCACACAUUUGGACGCCACCGAGGGGCUCGGCAAAUUUUGGUGCAGUUAUUGUCACUUCGAAUGCGAGGACAACAAUCAAAUGCGACGCCAUCUGCUCAGCGCCGAACACAAGGAGGUCAUAUUGGCCAUUAAUCGUUCCGUGCCCAUUUGCAUUAGCAAAAAAUUGAGCAUCGACUGCAAUCGUUGUCGUCAGAGCUUCCGUUACAACGCCGAGUUGCGACGACAUGCCUUGCUCUGUCAUCCCGACAAGGAAUUGUGCGGCACCGCAUCGGACGGCUAUCAAAGUCGUUACAAGUGUGAGUUAUGCGCGGACAGUUUUCGUUCGAAGGUCGCGUUACAACGUCACGAGAAGAACAAGCACAGCAUCAGUAAAUAUUUCUGUUCCAUAUGCAAAUUGGAAUUCAAUACGCCUUGCAAGGCGCGCAGGCAUCGCAAAACGUUGCAGCAUCGGAAUUGUGCCGCAGCAGCGGAGAAGAAUGCGGGUGUGCGACGUGUGGCGUCCGCGAAGGACGUCAAGAGUUGUGAUAAAUGCAAUUUCGUCGCCUCAUCGGAGGUUCAAGCAAUGCUACACGAACUCUCACAUCACAAGAGCGGUAUUACUAUGCGUAAUGUCGUGAUUGCCAAAGCUAGUAGCACCACAAGCACCAGUAAAAACAAUAAACUCACCGAUAAAACACAGAAAUCUAAAGUAAACGAGCAACCCAAACUGAAGUGCAAGGACUGCGAAGAGCUCUUCGCCGAUAAGGCGGCACUUAAAGCACAUCGCGAAACCUCGCAUCCGCUAUUAUGCCACGUCUGCUUGAGUUGUGGUCAGAGUUUUGCGCUGGCUCAAGCGCUCGGCCGUCAUACGCGCAACUGUCAGCCAAAGCCUAGCACUUCGAAGGAAGCACAGGCCCAGCGCGGCACGGCAAGUGACUGGCGCUGCGACAAGUGUGAUUUCAGCGCUGCUUACGAAUCAGAGCUAAUUUUUCAUCGUCUCCACCAUACCCUUGGUCCGAUGGCUAAAAAUCAAAUUAUCGCUUGCCCAAUUUGCACGAAAGAGUUUCGUAAGCAUUCGUUACGUUGCCAUUUGCGACAGCACACGAAUGAGAAGAUCUUCGCUUGUGAAUUGUGUAAAAUGAAGUUUUCACGGCGUCACAAUCUCAAGGAUCACUUGAAGACUGUACAUAAUGUGCCGGCGGCAGUGCCGGCGGCAGUGCCGAAGGAAAUGUCGUCCGCUGGCGAGGAAAUCACAAAAGUGAAGAAGAGAAAAAUUGAUGGCGACAAAUUUGCUUGUGGUCUAUGCUCCAAAGCAUUUAGCACAGAUUACAUGCUGAAAAAACAUGCUGCGAGCCAUGCCACUUUGCCGUCGGAAAACGCUGAAAAUACUUGUAAAUAUGAGAAUUGCAAAUAUGUUGCCGCAAAUGCAACUUUACUGCGCGUUCAUGCAGCAUCACAUGCCAAGGAGCAGCUAAAAUGCAAUGAACCAUCAUGCAACUAUGAAGGGAAAAGUUUGCUGCACUUAAAGAGGCACUCCCGCACCCACCUAGCGCCAUCUAAGUGGUUUACGUGCGACAAGUGUGAAUUCAAGGCGCGCAUCAAGGGCCACCUCAAACGUCACAUGCGCACACACACAGGUGAAAAACCCUUCCAAUGUCGCUACUGUCUCUUCCGCUGCAGUACUUUCGACAAUUUGCGUAAGCAUGUGCUCAAAACUGGCAAGCAUCCGGGCAAAUUCAUCUACGAGUGUGAACAUUGCAACAACGUCGGGCAAAAGAAGUCCUACAAAACCAAUUCAUAUCACGAGUUUCAGGCGCACAAUGCAGAAAUGCAUGGCACGAGAGUGCAGGCUACAUAAGCAGCGCGGACGUAGUAGGAAGGAACGUGUUCUAGUCAAUUUACGCCAGCAAUUAAUAACAUAAGAAUUAACUCCUGAACAGCAGAAGCUGUUAAUUGAGCUACGUCGAAAAAAGCAGG